UGGGGAAUAUUGGACAAUGGGCGCAAGCCUGAUCCAGCAAUGCCGCGUGUGUGAAGAAGGCCUUCGGGUUGUAAAGCACUUUUAUCAGGAGCGAAACGCUGUCGGCUAAUACCCGGCGGAACUGACGGUACCUGAGGAAUAAGCACCGGCUAACUUCGUGCCAGCAGCCGCGGUAAUACGAAGGGUGCAAGCGUUAAUCGGAAUUACUGGGCGUAAAGCGUGCGUAGGCGGUUUCUUAAGUCUGCUGUGAAAUCCCCGGGCUCAACCUGGGAAUGGCGGUGGAUACUGGGAGGCUAGAGUGUGUCAGAGGGUGGUGGAAUUCCCGGUGUAGCGGUGAAAUGCGUAGAGAUCGGGAGGAACAUCAGUGGCGAAGGCGGCCACCUGGGACAACACUGACGCUGAGGCACGAAAGCGUGGGGAGCAAACAGGAUUAGAUACCCUGGUAGUCCACGCCCUAAACGAUGCGAACUGGAUGUUGGUCUCAACUCGGAGAUCAGUGUCGAAGCUAACGCGUUAAGUUCGCCGCCUGGGGAGUACGGUCGCAAGACUGAAACUCAAAGG
Molecule: ribosomal RNA, 561 nt
Filed under: uncultured bacterium
Lineage: Bacteria
Description: partial 16S ribosomal RNA
Rfam family: Bacterial small subunit ribosomal RNA
Source: RNAcentral